GGGGCCAUAGCUCAGUUGGGAGAGCGCUUGCAUGGCAUGCAAGAGGUCAGCGGUUCGAUCCCCCUUGGCUCCACCA
Molecule: transfer RNA, 76 nt
Filed under: Hyphomonas sp.
Lineage: Bacteria; Pseudomonadati; Pseudomonadota; Alphaproteobacteria; Hyphomonadales; Hyphomonadaceae
Description: tRNA-Ala
Rfam family: tRNA
About the family: Transfer RNA (tRNA) molecules are approximately 80 nucleotides in length. Their secondary structure includes four short double-helical elements and three loops (D, anti-codon, and T loops). Further hydrogen bonds mediate the characteristic L-shaped molecular structure. tRNAs have two regions of fundamental functional importance: the anti-codon, which is responsible for specific mRNA codon recognition, and the 3' end, to which the tRNAs corresponding amino acid is attached (by aminoacyl-tRNA synthetases). tRNAs cope with the degeneracy of the genetic code in two manners: having more than one tRNA (with a specific anti-codon) for a particular amino acid; and 'wobble' base-pairing, i.e. permitting non-standard base-pairing at the 3rd anti-codon position.
Source: RNAcentral